This 386-nucleotide ribosomal RNA is filed under the name uncultured bacterium. RNAcentral's name for it is "bacterial SSU rRNA". It matches the Rfam family "Bacterial small subunit ribosomal RNA", at positions 30 to 417 of the family's 1533-position model. The record is from RNAcentral.
AUUGAACGCUGGCGGCAUGCCUUACACAUGCAAGUCGAACGGCAGCGGACCUUCGGGUGCCGGCGAGUGGCGAACGGGUGAGUAAUGCAUCGGAACGUGCCAUUGAGUGGGGGGAUAACGUAGCGAAAGUUGCGCUAAUACCGCAUAUUCUGUGAGCAGGAAAGCAGGGGACCGCAAGGCCUUGCGCUCUUUGAGCGGCCGAUGUCAGAUUAGCUAGUUGGUGAGGUAACGGCUUACCAAGGCGACGAUCUGUAGCGGGUCUGAGAGGAUGAUCCGCCACACUGGAACUGAGACACGGUCCAGACUCCUACGGGAGGCAGCAGUGGGGAAUUUUGGACAAUGGGGGCAACCCUGAUCCAGCCAUGCCGCGUGAGUGAAGAAGGCCU